This 228-nucleotide ribosomal RNA is filed under the name Acartia tonsa. RNAcentral describes it as "partial large subunit ribosomal RNA". Lineage: Eukaryota; Metazoa; Arthropoda; Copepoda; Calanoida; Acartiidae. The record is from RNAcentral.
AAAUAGCUUCUGCACUAUUUGUAGCCGCAAUUCAACAUCGAGGUCGCAAACAAUUAUUUUAAUAAGGGCUUAAAUAAUUAUAACGCUGUUAUCCCUAGAGUACCUUAUUCGUCUAAUUUAAUAAAGAUCAUUGUUAAUAUAAAUAGUCCUAUUUAAAUUUACCCCAAAUAAACUUGUGUACAAUUAUUACUUCAUUAAUUAAGUAAAGGUUCAUAGGGCUUCUCGUCA